AAUUUUUCAGGAAGUAAGUUUCUCUUUAAUUCGGUUUAAGCUAUGUUUCAUCGCCGCAGGGCUAUAAAGAAGUUUUCCUAGUUCCAUAAUUUAUUUUGCUAUGUAACUAUAUGUAUAAGAAGCUAUGUAUAUCAAACAGUUAGUGACUCCGCAGUUGUAGGAUUUGUAUACUUUUAGUCGUUUAUUAUUAUAGAUGAGAUAAUUAUGUGAGCCCAUAUUAUAAAUGUGAUGUUUUGUUAAUUGGGCCCGAACUGUGGAAUGUUGUAGCUGAUAAAUUGGGCCGAGAUUUAAUAAAAU
This 297-nucleotide long non-coding RNA is filed under the name Jatropha curcas. RNAcentral describes it as "long non-coding RNA (JCUR_LNC002955)". Lineage: Eukaryota; Viridiplantae; Streptophyta; Magnoliopsida; Malpighiales; Euphorbiaceae. The record is from RNAcentral.